This 583-nucleotide ribosomal RNA is filed under the name uncultured bacterium. Its description in RNAcentral is "bacterial SSU rRNA". It matches the Rfam family "Bacterial small subunit ribosomal RNA", at positions 102 to 681 of the family's 1533-position model. The record is from RNAcentral.
ACGGGUGAGUAAUACAUCGGAACGUGCCCAAUCGUGGGGGAUAACGCAGCGAAAGCUGUGCUAAUACCGCAUACGAUCUACGGAUGAAAGCAGGGGAUCGCAAGACCUUGCGCGAAUGGAGCGGCCGAUGGCAGAUUAGGUAGUUGGUGAGGUAAAGGCUCACCAAGCCUUCGAUCUGUAGCUGGUCUGAGAGGACGACCAGCCACACUGGGACUGAGACACGGCCCAGACUCCUACGGGAGGCAGCAGUGGGGAAUUUUGGACAAUGGGCGAAAGCCUGAUCCAGCCAUGCCGCGUGCAGGAUGAAGGCCUUCGGGUUGUAAACUGCUUUUGUACGGAACGAAACGGUCUUUUCUAAUACAGAAGGCUAAUGACGGUACCGUAAGAAUAAGCACCGGCUAACUACGUGCCAGCAGCCGCGGUAAUACGUAGGGUGCAAGCGUUAAUCGGAAUUACUGGGCGUAAAGCGUGCGCAGGCGGUUAUGUAAGACAGUUGUGAAAUCCCCGGGCUCAACCUGGGAACUGCAUCUGUGACUGCAUAGCUAGAGUACGGUAGAGGGGGAUGGAAUUCCGCGUGUAGCAG